This 488-nucleotide long non-coding RNA is filed under the name Chrysolophus pictus (golden pheasant). Its description in RNAcentral is "lncRNA (ENSCPIG00010001715.1)". The record is from RNAcentral. Lineage: Eukaryota; Metazoa; Chordata; Aves; Galliformes; Phasianidae.
CACCCUUCUCCUCCUGUAUAAUCUAUUUCAGUUGAGACCUCAUACUAUGACUUCCCACAUACUUUUCCCAUGGUCCCCUUGCAAAACCUCCCUUACACAUUCAGCGCUUAAGGAAAAUUGAGUGGUAAAGAAUGACCAGGCAAUACUCUUUGAAAAUUGGAGACCAUUUGCAGCUGCUCUCUGCUGAGGAAAGUGAAUAAUAGGGUGCCCUCAAGGAAUUUCAAAGAGAGCGACAGGAUGAGAUGACAGCUUUUCUCAUGGCCCUGUUAAUAGUUUUUGCUAACAAGGAAAGGGGAAGGGAAUAAUUCUUUGCAAUAAUAUUGACUUCUUCUGUGAUCUUGGGAAUUUGGCUCACCAAACCUCCCAGUCCUGGAAUGAUGACUGCCCUAAGAAGAGAAAGAAGGGAGAGUCAUUAAAAAGAAAGAAAAAGAUCACAGAUUGGAGAAGAAAAUGAGCGCAUGUAACUGGGGCAUUAUGUUCAACUGGCC